This 73-nucleotide transfer RNA is filed under the name Chitinophagaceae bacterium. Its description in RNAcentral is "tRNA-Arg". It matches the Rfam family "tRNA". Rfam says of the family: Transfer RNA (tRNA) molecules are approximately 80 nucleotides in length. Their secondary structure includes four short double-helical elements and three loops (D, anti-codon, and T loops). Further hydrogen bonds mediate the characteristic L-shaped molecular structure. tRNAs have two regions of fundamental functional importance: the anti-codon, which is responsible for specific mRNA codon recognition, and the 3' end, to which the tRNAs corresponding amino acid is attached (by aminoacyl-tRNA synthetases). tRNAs cope with the degeneracy of the genetic code in two manners: having more than one tRNA (with a specific anti-codon) for a particular amino acid; and 'wobble' base-pairing, i.e. permitting non-standard base-pairing at the 3rd anti-codon position. The record is from RNAcentral. Lineage: Bacteria; Pseudomonadati; Bacteroidota; Chitinophagia; Chitinophagales; Chitinophagaceae.
UGAUUCGUAGCAUAAUUGGAAGUGCAUCGGUCUUCUAAACCGAAAGGUAAGAGUUCAACUCUCUUCGAAUCAG